Long non-coding RNA from Bos taurus (domestic cattle), 378 nucleotides. NCBI's taxonomy places the organism in Eukaryota, Metazoa, Chordata, Mammalia, Artiodactyla, Bovidae. The record is from Ensembl.
AAGAAAGAUCAGGGAGUUUGUCAAGAUUAGCAGUGAUUUGUCUUUUUCGGAAAACUGAAGAAAUGAAUCAGGAAUCCUGGAGAACAUUGGCAGAUCCGGCAUUCAGGGCUGUGUGCCCCUAGGCAAGAUAUGAUCCGGGGCUGGGCUGGUUUAGCCUGACAUGGAUUUGGAGGUGCUCGGGGGUAAAGCUCAUCCAAAGAGUGACAUUUAGACUCUGAGCCUGAAGAGUGGGCUUCACGAAUCCCGCUGGGCCUGGUGCCUGGGUGCUGCAUCCUGGGGAGACGAGGGUCUUGGCAUUCUUGAAGAUAUUCACAGCCACGGAGGGACGUGUUGGGGAGCCCAGCACCAGCCUGAAUUUGCUCAUCCUGAAGUCUUAAC